Molecule: ribosomal RNA, 447 nt
Filed under: uncultured bacterium
Lineage: Bacteria
Description: partial 16S ribosomal RNA
Rfam family: Bacterial small subunit ribosomal RNA
Source: RNAcentral
AGCGAACGCUGGCGGCAGGCUUAACACAUGCAAGUCGAACGGUCCUUCGGGAUAGUGGCGGACGGGUGAGUAACACGUGGGAACGUGCCUUUAGGUUCGGAACAACACAGGGAAACUUGUGCUAAUACCGGAUGUGCCCUUCGGGGGAAAGAUUUUUCGCCUUUAGAGCGGCCCGCGUCUGAUUAGCUUGUUGGUGAGGUAAUGGCUCACCAAGGCUACGAUCAGUAGCGGGUCUGAGAGGAUGACCAGCCACAUUGGGACUGAGACACGGCCCAAACUCCUGCGGGAGGCAGCAGUGGGGAAUCUUGCGCAAUGGGCGAAAGCCUGACGCAGCCAUGCCGCGUGAAUGAUGAAGGUCUUAGGAUUGUAAAAUUCUUUCACCGGGGACGAUAAUGACGGUACCCGGAGAAGAAGCCCCGGCUAACUUCGUGCCAGCCGCCGCGGUAA